UAGUUGAAAAAUACUUUAAUUUAAAAAAAUCUUGAAAGUACAGACAGUGUAUCGAGUGUGUUGUACCAUGAAUACAAAAUAAAUAUAAAAUCCUAACUUUUUUAAACAUCAUGAAACAGAAGAUACAUGUAACUCAUCCUUUGUUAAGGAAGAAGGGCUUUUAUAACAGUUGAGGCAAUAGAUCAACAUUGGGAUUCUGUUCCCAGAUUUUCUGGGUGACCACUGGACAGCACCUAACAGUUGUGUUUCAGUAAACCUGUGUGAUAUCUCCAUAUAUCACAGGAGCACUGUGCAAGGAAACUCACUGUUGGCAAAGGGCUCAAAUAACAGCACUUGGGUUUGGUGGGUUUUGUUUAGGAAGUGCUUCCAAUGUUGCAACAGGCUUGGGAGCAUUGUUAAUGUCGGUACCAGCUAUCCACUAAACUAGUCAUCGUCUUUCUCAUGUUGCUGCACCUACCUUGGAUGUACUUGGUUGGUUCCUGCUCUGCUUCGAAUAGUGUUCACGCAUCCCUGGCAAAUGCUGGACCUCAGAGCUACACAGAACGUGGGUUGGUUUUGGUUGGUUUAUUUGAGGGUUUUUGGUUAGUGGUGUUUUUUCUGUGUUGGAGUAGGUGUAGCUGGUAUUGCCCUAAAUAAUUCAGUAAAAGGAACAGUGUCUGAAGAACGUAAUUGCCUAUUUUGAGGGGCUUUUACAUUUAACAUACCGCUUAGGUAAAGUAUUCUCUUAAGGUAUUAUUUGGACAUAUAAAUACAUAUUAUGUACUUAUGGAGGGAUAAUCAUUGUUACCUCAGUGAAGUGGAAAUCCAGACAAACUGUGGGUUUGAGCUAGGGCAAAUCUGAUUCUUCCCCCGGCCUCAAAUCACAUGGAUGGGAGUUCUUAGCUAACUACAGAGUACACUGCAAUAAACCUGUGUACUUGACAACAUGCAAAACCCACUAGGCAUCUCUUCAGAUAACCUUUUUUGACUAACCUGUAAUAAUUUUAAGUACUUCACGUUCAUGGUGGUAACACAGGCAAAGGUAAAAUACAUCUUUAGUCUACAAAGAUCAUUGUUUGGGGGGAGUUUCCAUUGUUCUCCCAAACCAUCACAGCUAAUGAGGCUUUCCUGCAUUUUCACAACAGCUAACACUGCCAGUCUCCUGCUAGUGACAGAACCCCCCAAGCCAAGCCCAGCUUCCAGAGCGUGGUGGUAUUAGCUGUGAAUUUGGUUCUCAGAGGUGAAUCUUCCUGCUUAGUGGCCUUCCGCAUCAGAACUCUCUUGCUGUUUUGAAUGUUGUGGACUUAACAGUAUUUUGGAUCACCUGCUAGAAAGGGCUUCUCUCUGCUAAACAUGCUAUAGAUUUGCAUAUGUAUUUAUAAAUUUAUGGCACAGAAGGCUGUUAAGUGUCUCUUCCUCUUAAAAUGAAGUUCAAUCAUUGUAAAGGAGAAAGAGACAUGUAAGGCUUUCAAGCACCAAAUCUGUCUCCUCUUUUAGACAGAGUUGCUCCUGGAAUGUGGUACAGCAGCACCUCUCAGCACUGUUAGAGGUAACAGAUUUUCUCCCUUGUCCAGCAAUGGACAAUGAGAAACCAUGGUCGUGCAUGCACCACUGAAGUCAUGCUGCAUCAUCAGGCAUGGUACAAAGAAAAGAGAUCCCUUUUAAAGCAUAUACAUCCUGGUCGGACAUGCCCUUCUGGAGAGCUGACUUGCUUCCCACCACUGGUAACCCCUUUUGGGUUUGGAAGAUCAGAUGGUGACAGAUUAAUGGUCUUCUGUUUUCUGCAGUGUGGAAGACAGUAAAGUAAAACAGUGAGGUGAGGACAGAAGAAUACAGAGAUAGUUUAAAGAACAAAAGAAGGAAAUGACCUCUGCAGGUGGGUGAAUGAGGGGACAUGAUCUACUCCCUAGCCUAGGAUUGUGAAAUACCUAACUUGAAAGAUACUUGACAGUCUAAAUUUUUCUCCCUUUUCUUUUCCUCCCCACACACCUUCUGUGUUCAGUCCCAAAAUGAAGGCUGAAGAAGGGGAGGCAGAAGCCAGGUAUCCUUCCCUCCUUGUUUUGCCAGGAAUUACUUUCUGCUUUUUACUGAAUGAGUAAACUGCUGAGUAUUUUGAGGACAGUGGAGCUCUAUGUGGGUUAUCUGUAUUCCUAGUUACAUGGUUACGGCAUCACGCCGGCUGUGCUGACAGCAGUUCCUCCAAGCAGCUGAAAACAGCCUCAGCCUUUGUUGUUUUUUCUAUGGCAUUGAGAGGCCUGGAAUGGACAGCAGCACCC
Long non-coding RNA from Strigops habroptila (Kakapo), 2255 nucleotides. The record is from Ensembl. NCBI's taxonomy places the organism in Eukaryota, Metazoa, Chordata, Aves, Psittaciformes, Psittacidae.